Long non-coding RNA from Cephus cinctus (wheat stem sawfly), 4019 nucleotides. RefSeq lists it as uncharacterized. Lineage: Eukaryota; Metazoa; Arthropoda; Insecta; Hymenoptera; Cephidae. The transcript is spliced from 10 exons. The record is from RefSeq and is a predicted model, not a curated record.
GGGCGAGGACCCGAAGGCGCCGUUCUCACAGCUGCGAUCAAGCGACGUACCGAAGACGCUCCUGCCGAGGAACUCAUCGAUUCCCGACGACGCCAUGACAACCCGGAAGUUCUUGCAGACCGACAAGAAAUGGAGCCCAUAAAAUACCUCGAGCAUGGUGUCGUUAUCCCAUAAAGUAUGAUGAUGGCCACCGCUACGUGCACGACGGUGGGUAUGAGCCAACGGUGGUGGCUGCGCUGGUAGUUUCAUAGGACCCAGACCACCGAUUGGCGCCGGUCGGUAAACAGGACUCUCCAAUUUAUCUUUCGAGAGCUCAUGAAGAUUCGGAUAAACUAUCGGAGCGUUCUAAAAUCUGCACGUAGCCAAUCAGUGAAACGUAUCCGAAUAAUAAUAUAAAGAGUUCGCGUUUACUUGAAUUUAACCACAAUUGAAUCCUCUACUGGUUACUAUUCGUAAAACACGUGACCUUGAACGUGCAGAAAAGUAAAAGGUUUCCGCGUUCACCCAGUAAGUCGACAAGGGCACGUGGAAACGGUAAAAUGCAUUACAUGCAGAUCUCCGUGGCAUAGUAAUCAAUAAAAUUAUGAAUAUUCAUCGCAUAUCGGAAUCUGAUAUGUACAGGAAUAUUUAUAAAAAUACUUAUCAGAUGCAUACACCAAGUUUUGUCAAUGUAAUAUAAGAAUUUCCAGCCACAGAAAAUCUCCACCGAAUAGUCAAACUUACAGAUUUCUCUUAAAAUAAUAUGGCUCAGGGGCUAAUGGAUGUGUGAAAUGUAUAAGAGAAGGACAAUUGACUAAGUAAAGGGUAAAGUUAAACACGAAGGAAACAGGAAGGACUAUUAAGCAAUAAAUUGUCAAGUGUCAACAUGGCUGAACUAUAUUCAUUAAUUAUAUCACGAGGGAGUCAUGAUAUUCAAAUAACGCGUCAACUGUAUUAAUCAUUUUCGCCUUCGCCAAUGCUUAAAUUUGCUUAGGUAAUUUUUCGAAUCAUUACUGAUGUCAUCGGAGGAGGGAUCAAUCAAUUCGCAACGUCUGGAUCAACGCAGAAGAAUAAAUGGAAUAAGGACGCCCAUGACCGUGUCGAUGAUUGACGCUUUUGAGUUCAGGCGCAGCCAUCGAGACGGCCUGGGGACGCCAAGUCGGAAAACCUUCACGCGCUCUCGCGGAUCGAUGACCAGCAAAAUCAUCAAAUUCUUACUUCUUGCGCGUCUCCGUUCUAUCUGAAAGCUCGCAAAAUCGAUCUGGGAUCGAUAACGCUCAUUGUCACAGAUUACGUAAACAUCAACUCGACUCCCAGCCCGGAACUGACACAACUGACCCCCUUUGAUUAAAAGAAUCUCUUAGUAGAUCCUAGAGUUACGAACUACUGCAAGAAUUGUCGAAUCGAUCGGUAUCGUUUUUAUUCGAUGUUUACCUACUGCUCGUUACGAGUCGAUUGACUUGACUCUAUUCUACUUCUUCACACUGCUUUUCGUUAAGGAAUUCAAUCACAACGAUGAUGAUGCGACAAAUCACUAAAUUCGGCAACGCAGCAAAGGAGUAUCAAAUUUUUCCAUGAAGUAUCAAUUCGCAAUUGUCGGCCAAUGGAGAAGCUCAAAAUUAAUCAGACGGACUUCUACGACGGAAGUUCGCCUUACGUCAAGUGGAGUGUAUACGGGAGUGUGCCUGUGGAUUACGGGAAAACCAACCGGAAGGCUUUGCUGGAAAGAAAUGGAGUCGCCGAGACAGGUGGUCGUUGCUAACGUCAAAAUGAAACUGGUUUAGCGAGACAAGCGUGGGAAGAGAUGGCGGAUGUUGUUGAGUGUAAUGAUAAAAACGAAAAUGCAGACAGAUUUAUGGUAGCAGAUUGGACGGACGUUAAAAGACAAUUGAGGGAUACGUAAUUGACUACGUUAGUCGAAGCUUCCUAAUUUCCUCAAGAACGACGCUCGUAGCAAUUGCUAUUUAAAUUAAUAAUAUUUAUAUAAAAUCUAAGUAGGAUAUUUGUCAAUUAUCAUACAUAAUAUAUUGUUCUUUUAGCAAAUCCAAGUUUUCGCUAAAGGUACAGUAAAUUGACAUCCGGUUUUAAUGUCGCUGACGUCUAGUGAUUCGUGUUAGUGUCAUUUAGGCCUCAGGCGCUGUAAUUCGAUGACGGAAUAGAGAGACCUAACUUUGCUUUUAUCCACCGCUGAUUUCUCUAAGGAUUCUGUUUGGAAGAUAUACCAUAUACUCUAUAGUAAAAUAUAUUGCUUGUUUUUAAUGUCAACAGGAAAAUGUAUAAGUUGCAUAAAUCAAUAUGACGAAUAAAAGGAAGAAGUCAAUUUUCAUUUUAUGUCCCAGGGAGAAAAGGGGCGUGAAGGAGGCGACAUAUGUGUCCACUGGUGAAAAUAAGUUAUGAAUAAAGUAAUCAAUAUAAAUAAAAAGAAAUAAUAAGACAACUUUAGAUUCUUAGAACGUAUACUGUGUUUGCUUAAAUUUUUAUAUAUUAUCCGUACGUGAAAUUCGUGAAUUUUCGUACGACGUAAUAAAGUUAUAGGGUGAAAAGAGGGUUAUGUAAAAAAAAAGAAAAUGAAAUAGAAUAUCUAUGAGACAUUCUAUUAUUUUUAAAAUAAUUAUUCGCAAUGACUUACCUUUCAUCUGAAUUAGUCACCUGUUAGGUUCAAUACGUUUAGUCCUAACGUAGAAAUAAAGCAGACUCAUUACAUAGAAAAUGUUACUUCCAUAUUCAUUGACGCGAAAAUUAUUUUUUUAAUUUUACGUAAUCACGAAAAGAACGUCUCUUACAUUGUCCCGACGUACACACGAACCAUUCACAAUGUAUUUUACACUCAACGUUAAUUUAACAGAUUUCGUUAUGGAAAUUGAAUAAUUAAUUAAAUUAAUUAUUAUUUUAAAAUGUACCUAGACCAAGUCUUAAGAUUAUUCUAAUAAACUGUAUCUCGCAGUACAACGUUAUCAAAUGACAAGGAAUGUGAAAAAUCUAUGACAACACGACGCAGUCGUCUCACAGGAAUGCACUUUAAGAAAUGUGUAAAAUCAUAUCAUUCCUACCUACCACUACCGAUAUUAAUAACAGCAACAAUAAUUUCAAAGAUCAAUUGUAUUAGUAAAGUGUCAGUAAAAUGUAAUAUUUCGAUUUACAGUAAUCCGCGCACCCACUUGUUUACGUGUUUUCGCGAGGAUUUUUAGAACGUUAUUUGAUUUUCGCAGCGCGACGAUUAUCCUGGGACUUUAUUUUCAGCUUAUUUCAGCCAAACACAACGUAAAAAAUUGAUAUCAAUGGAGACCUGAGAGAUUUGAAUUGUAGAAUUCCAGCCUGAGGUAAACUGGAUGCGAUUCGUACUCGAAUGAGGGUUGGAUUCAUCUGGCACGUAGCAGCGGUUCUUCUCUUCCCUCCCGAUGGGUCGAUAGGAGCGAGAGUGCGUACAAGUUGUUUCGAUUCUUAAGGCUCGUCCACACUUUCCAAAUUUAUAGCAGGUAUCAUCGACUCAAAUCUCUCAUUUUUUAAAAAUAAAAUCUCUUACGAGCUGCUCGUGUCUACCUGAAACAACUGCAGACGUAUCGAAUAAUUCAAUUGACAGAAACGACAGAAGAACGUCCCACUGAAGAUAUUUUAAUGUCCACAGAAAUUUUAACACUCAAACUUCAAAGCAAUGUCACGAAUAUAAUGAAAUGUCUAUUUAUUAUUUUUAUACCGCAAAAAUUCAAAAUUAUUCAAAAGUCCGUUACGAUUUGAAUGUCUACUGCUAUUACCCAGAAUGCACUGCGAUUAGUUUAUCGCGAAGUAUCGUACAAUGGACGACAUAAACACAAUGUCACUGUCUCUAGAUGACUAACCUUCCUGAAUACCCGUGAGCAUAUGCUGUUCUCUGUGCUGUUAAUUAACAGAAGAUAGUGCAACCUGUCAAGCUGUAUUAUCAUGUAAGUGGAAUGGAGUCUCAAGAUAAACUGCAUCAUUUACAUGGGUCCAUGAUCACCUAACUUAUGUAAAUAUCUCACAAGUAUCCACUUCUACGAGCGUAGCCAUAACCUAUGAGAAAA